Molecule: ribosomal RNA, 431 nt
Filed under: Lymnaea stagnalis (great pond snail)
Lineage: Eukaryota; Metazoa; Mollusca; Gastropoda; Lymnaeidae
Description: partial 16S ribosomal RNA
Rfam family: Archaeal large subunit ribosomal RNA
Source: RNAcentral
AGCUUGAAGUUUAUAUUUUAAGUAAUUUCUGCCCAGCGUAAUUUAUUAGCGGCCGCAGUACCUUGACUGUGCUAAGGUAGCAUAAUCAAUUGGCUUUUAAUUGUAGUCUGGAAUGAAUGGAUUAAUAGGAAGGAACUGUCUCUUUUUAAAUUAUUUGAAAUUUUUUAUUAAGUGAAAAUACUUAUAUUUAGAUAAAAGACGAGAAGACCCUUAGAAUUUUUAUGAAUGGUGACUAAAACCUUAAUUUUUGUUGGGGCGACAAUAAAUCACUUUAAACAUUUACAAGUUUACACGACAAUUAGAUUUAUAAGAGUAUAAUUACCUUAGGGAUAACAGCAUAAUUUUUUUAUAAAGUUUGUGACCUCGAUGUUGGACUAGGAACUAAAUAACUAACCGUUAACAUAGAUUGUUCUGUUCGAACAUUUAUUCCU